RNAcentral lists this ribosomal RNA (467 nucleotides) under uncultured bacterium. RNAcentral describes it as "bacterial SSU rRNA". It matches the Rfam family "Bacterial small subunit ribosomal RNA", at positions 355 to 825 of the family's 1533-position model. The record is from RNAcentral.
UAAGGAAUAUUGCGCAAUGGGCGAAAGUCUGAACCAGCCAUCCCGCGUGCAGGAAGAAGGGGCUCUGCCUUGUAAACUGCUUUUGAAUGGGACGAAAGAGCUAUAUGCGUAUAGUGUUGACGGUACCAUUAGAAUAAGCACCGGCUAACUCCGUGCCAGCAGCCGCGGUAAUACGGAGGGUGCAAGCGUUAUCCGGAUUCAUUGGGUUUAAAGGGUGCGUAGGCGGACUGAUAAGUCAGUGGUGAAAUCUCUCGGCUUAACCGAGAAACUGCCAUUGAUACUGUUAGUCUAGAGUACAGAUGAUGUGGGCGGAAUAUGACAUGUAGUGGUGAAAUACUUAGAUAUGUCAUAGAACACCGAUUGCGAAGGCAGCUCACAAAACUGUAACUGACGCUGAGGCACGAAAGUGCGGGGAUCAAACAGGAUUAGAUACCCCCGUAGUCCCUGAGCGGGCUGGCAAGGCGCAU